Cajanus cajan (pigeon pea) is the source of this 1324-nucleotide long non-coding RNA. RefSeq lists it as uncharacterized. The record is from RefSeq and is a predicted model, not a curated record. NCBI's taxonomy places the organism in Eukaryota, Viridiplantae, Streptophyta, Magnoliopsida, Fabales, Fabaceae.
UCUGCUUUGUAUUUACAAGGAGACGGAGAUCUACGAGAGUCCCUAGAAAAAGAGAGAGGCGGAGGAGCAGUGUAGCGAACACUUUGAGAAUCCAUCACUUGGGCGAGGCGCUGAAUUGCGGCUUUCGCAGAAACAUUCUGAGUCCUUUUGACGCUUGGGAUUCCGGUGAGGGUGAGGGAGGACGAACGAGAAUGCCCGUUACGUGACUGAAACGGCCCAUGUGGAUCCUCCUCUUGGUGACGUAUCUCAACUUGAUUACGGAGGAACGGUUGGGGAGGGCAAGGCCUACGAUAGGGGCGUGCGCGCGGGUGCCUUGGCCAUGACCGUUUUGGUUACCAAGUUGGCUCAACACAACCGCCAAUACACCCUCCUCCCCAACGCCCACCGUGAGCCUCUGCCUCCUCCCCCGGCGCGUUAGCUCUCUUUUCUGUCCUCGGCAUCCCAGAGAAUUGUACAAUGCCAGAUUAGGCAACUGGUGGACGGAGAACGUGAUCCUGUGAGGUAUCCACUGCAGCAGGAGGCAUAAAUUGCCACAUUGCAACUCCUGGAUAACUGAUAAAAGGAACCAGCUUGUUGCCGUGGGCUUGGCCUUGUGCCGCAAAUGCUGCGGCCGGGAUUGCAGCAGGGGGAGGCAUGAAACUAGCUUUUACAUCGUGGUGGGGAUCAGGAUCGGACAUUUGUUCCAGAUUCAAUCAAUUUUGGAGCUGAAAGGGUUGGCAAAAAGGAUCAAAAGCGAAAGGCACCUGGAGCUCCAUCAGCUCAUAAAAGACCUAGAAAACUAAAGGCCUCAGAUCUUUAGUUCCUCAGGUGCAAACCAGGAAAGGUGUUUCGAUUUGUGGAAUUCUUUCAAUCAAAAGUAUGAAUGUUCUGGAAAGCGGUUGGGAACUCGAACACCUUGAAAUUCUGAUUGUGGUGUAUUUAGUCUAACUCUAGUUCGAUUUACUUGGGUCUGCAGUUUUAGGUUAAUGCCACACUUGAUAUUCGAUGUAAAAAGAAAACUGAGAUCCAUGGAAUGAGGCGAAUCUCCCAUUUAACCAUGUCCUGAGAAGCUUUACUUUAUAUCUUGGGCUGUUAAUGCUGUUAAGGAUACCAAGGCUUCUUGUUUGGAUAUGCAUGUAUAUAAGCUUGGAUUUGGAAUUCCAGCUAAAUGAUGCUUCAAGUGUUCCUAAUACACCCUUGGAUGCAAGAGGAUCUUCUGGGGCUAGCAACCUUUGUUAUGGAUUUUAUGUCAUACUUUGAUUUACAAUAGAAAUUUGAAUUGUAAAUUUUUGAACUAUAAACUGUUAUUUUUGUUAUUGGAAAUAUAAUUUCUACGUCCACAUUA